Molecule: non-coding RNA, 68 nt
Organism: Potamilus streckersoni
Lineage: Eukaryota; Metazoa; Mollusca; Bivalvia; Unionida; Unionidae
Source: the annotation of a GenBank genome assembly
GGUGCUCUUGUGGUUAGAGCUUCCAUUUCAAAUGUGGAAGGUCAUGGGUUCAAACCCCAGCUGAGUCA